Molecule: non-coding RNA, 3556 nt
Organism: Tetranychus urticae (two-spotted spider mite)
Lineage: Eukaryota; Metazoa; Arthropoda; Arachnida; Trombidiformes; Tetranychidae
Source: RefSeq, a predicted model, not a curated record
AUUGAUGCUGCACCAAUAGAUUAUCACAAUAAUAAAAGGAUUAUUUCAGCUUUAAUUUUUAAAUCUGGUUUUGUUAAUGGUAAGUAGUGGUACUUUAGUAUUGAUACAUUUGAACACUUCUUACCAGCUUCAAUGCAUCCUUGGGUUAAGCAUACGUCUAAUGGUUGCUCAUCUGGAAGAGAAAUAUAAAGAUUCCGAUUAAGAUUACUACAGUGAUUUACAAAUUGUGAAUGUGAAACAAAUUGCAGAUUUGAUUUGAAAUAAACUGAGGAUAAGUAAAAAUAUCUAGCUAAAGAUGAUCUACCGGAUGGAAAGACUGAUUGCCGCAAAACAUAAAUCUUCAUUUAAAGAUGCAGCAAGAAAUAAGUCAUUGUCAUACAAUUUCCAGAUUGGCCAUCAUCCGAUUGAAUCAUUGUUUACCAAUUUUAAUUUGUUUUCCAACUGAGGAUUGACACCAAAGGGUUAAGAACCAAUAUCAAUUGAUUGGUAAAGUCGAUUAUCAAUGGAAAGUAACUUAUGGUCACGGAAAAAGUACUACAAAACCAAUCAAUAAUAGGAUGAUUGAAAAGCGUGAAUACAACUUUAAUAAACUUUCAAUAACUUGAAAUGGCCAAGGGUGUGCAUAAAUCAACAAUAAAAUUGGGUUUCAGAAGGUAAAUGGUCCAACUGAGAACAUCAUCAAGUACAAUCUAUUUUGGUACAUCUCAUAACAAACCAAUUAUCACCAUUAUCACCACUUUCAUCAUCAGUAUUUUCUGCUUGUGGUUAAUUUGAGUGGAAGGUGGCAAAAUGUGAUUCAUGAUCGGUAAACAAUCAAAUCUGAAUCUUGAAAAAUGAGUAAAAAGGUUAAACCCUAUGUACAAUUGCAAUCGAUGAAAACGAACUUAGGAAUCUAUCAUUGAAUUGGCAUUCGUUCGCUCAUGGAUACUUUUUACUGGAUUUGUUUUUUGGAUUAUAUUUGCUGAUAUGAAGUUUAUCUUGUGGUAUCAUAACUAAAUAAACCUACGCGUUCAUUUUCCUGAUGCCUUUUCUUGCUGACUGUUUUGUUCUUUAACUCAACAUAACGCCUAAUAAAUAAGUUACAAUGAACGAAAUGGAAAUGAAGCAGCUUCAAUAGGUUUGAUAAUGGUCAUGAAAUAUUUGGUCUUUUGCUAUUCAAGGCUGUCAAGAGUUCAACGAAGUUUAAUGAUAAAAAGAGAGGCAACAUUUGAAUACGAAGAAUUAGAUUUCUUGAGUUGCUGAAAUUUUAACUGCAUUGAUUUAUGUUUUCACGUUUUUUACUGUUCGUGGCCACUUCACUACCUGAUGUGAACGUAAACAUUUUGGCAAAUAUAAACACCUCGAUGAUUAAUUUGAAUGAUUGAUAAAUUGUUACCUUUGUGUUGAUGGAAAACGAUGUACAAAAUAAGGAGAAAAAGGCAUAAAAGUGAUGUUAUUGUUAUAAACCGAUGGCCAAUGGUUCGCAAAUUUUUACGACUUUGGUGAUCAAACCUGGUGAAAAUCGUUUGCCAAACAAGGAACACAAGUGAUUAUAAUCACAACUGUCAUUGUAUUAAUAAUGAUGACAAAUCUGACAAGAUCUUGAAUAUUUUUGUCAUAGUUGAUGCUAACUUAUUUACAAAAAUUUAUUCAAUCACAUGUCACGCUGAAAACUCGUCAAGGAAUGAAGAAAAUAGAUUUUUGGUUCACAAUUUUCUUACCUGUUAAAGCCUGUUGUUGUCGCUUUCGUCGUCGUUGUCUUGCCAUCAAUAGGAUUUUGAUUUAAAUCAAUGGCAGGAUUGGACAUUUACUCGGUAUAAUGAUGAAAUGAGUGAGAUCAACAUAAAAAACUAUUUAAUUGCUUUUAAUCAUCAACUGAGAAUGAUAUUUACAAAAACAAAGUAUCAAGAAGCACAAGCAAACAAACACAAAGUUGUAGUCGAAAUUGGAAGUCAAAGUAUAAAUAAUACAAAAAAGAUGAAGAACGAACGAACGUGUUGAACGAAGAAACAAAAGCGAUGAAAAAGUACGAACAAAGGAAAAAAGAAAAGACUUGAAAUGAAAAGUAAAAUAAAUUAAAAGACUUGAUUAAACAGAGAGAAAAGCUCGAUCUGUUCGAUUUGAUGGUUAAAGGCUUGUCUGGUUUUCAAUCUUGAAAAAACUCUCACUCAACUUGUUUGUUCACUCUUACACCAUUUUUGCUCCCUCCAUCAUCAUCAUCAUCAUCAUCAUCAUCAACAACAACAUCUACUGCAACAAUGACUCAAUGUUUUGGAAAUAUCAACCCAAUCUUGAAGUCAAAAUCAGUGGGUGAUUUGGUACGGAGAUACAGAAAUCCAAAUUUCCUCAGAAAAUUUCAAUGUGCCAUUGAUUAGGAUGAUAAGGAUAAUGAUAUCACUGCAAAGAUUGGAAAGAAAGUUCAACGUGUGAAAAGCGUUGGUGUUGAAUCUAUUCAAAAAUGUCCGAAUACAAGAACAAAGAGGACGAAAAAGAUGAUUAAAGAAAGAUUACUAAAAGUUAUUAAGAUUGUCCGAAAGAUAGCCUUUCUGGAUUCUUGGGUGUGUUCAAUUGAUUACGCUUUAUACUUGCGUUAUUUGGGUUUCCAUCUUUAACCAAGGAAUGGCCUCUUGAAAGAUUUGCAACAAUUGAUGCAAAUAUAACUGUUGAUGAAUUGAACCUCACACCUUUGCGUAUUUAUUGUUGAUUGGCACGAGUUGAAUCGAGAGACUUUUUGUUGAAAUAAGAAAGUUGAAUAAUCAAUAAGAUGGACAACAAUUGAUCAUGAGUGACGGUCAUGUAAAUUGAUUAAAUGGGCAAAAUCAAGAAUGGUGUAACAAAUUGUUCUCCUGUUGGACUGUUUAUUCCAAUUUUCUUUGCAUACAUUUGCUGUUAUGCUAUUGUAUUAGCAAUACUAGUCUGAAUACGGAUGGAACUUGUGAUGUUAUUUUUAAUUCGUAACCAAGUAAUUUUAUUAAUGCCGACACAUCACUUCUCAUUGACUUUAAUAUAACAGGAUUUCACUGAUUCAGGAUGGUAAUCGUUGUUGGUUAAUGGCGAAAAAUUUAAAGAUUUUUAAAGGUUAUGGAUAAUAUGUAACACUUAAACAUUGAUUUUGUCAAGGAAAACUUAUGAAGGGAAAACUUUGAAUUCAUUUUGAUACAUGUUUCAUAUUGCUUUUACAAACUGUAAUAAUUUUUACUCAAUCAGCUCAUUAGCUUAUUAAUUAUCUGAAUGGUUCUUCAUUUUAUUCACCCUCACAUAUAAUACAAUUUUGUUUAAACUAAAUUUCUCGAGAGAUUUGUAAUUGCCGGAAACGACAUUCUGAUCUUUACUGGUUAAUUGUCUGUUAUUUAAUUAUCUAUCUAUCUUUCUCUAAUUUAAUUCAUAUGUAUUAUUAUUUUAUUAAUAUUUCCGUCCUUGCCAAUUACAACUGACAAAUUACAAUUUUAUGCAGCAAUUUAACUUAAAUUCACAAGUUUUAUUGCAAAUGGUGCCCAUGAAAGGCGAAAAAAUUGAAAACCUCAAUGCAUUAUAUGUAUCAUCGUAUUACUGAAAUUAAAAUUCAUUGUAAAAUUUA